GAUGAAGAACGUAGCGAAAUGCGAUAAGUAAUGUGAAUUGCAGAACUCAGUGAAUCAUCGAAUCUUUGAACGCACAUUGCGCCCGCCAGUAUUCUGGCGGGCAUGCCUGUCCGAGCGUCAUUUCAACCCUCGCGCCCAUCUGGGCUGCGGUGUUGGGGACCGGCCUGCCCCCCCGGGGCGCGCCGCCCCCCAAAUUCAGUGGCGGUCUCGCUGCAGCCUCCCUUGCGUAGUAGCACACCUCGCACCGGAGCGCAGCGCGGCCACGCCGUAAAACCCCCGACCCCCAUGAGUUUGACCUCGGAUCAGGUAGGAAUACCCGCUGAACUUAAGCAUAUCAAUAAGCGGAGGA
Molecule: unclassified non-coding RNA, 349 nt
Filed under: soil metagenome
Description: partial contains 5.8S ribosomal RNA, internal transcribed spacer 2, and large subunit ribosomal RNA
Rfam family: 5.8S ribosomal RNA (bases 1-120)
Source: RNAcentral